Molecule: non-coding RNA, 285 nt
Organism: Struthio camelus australis
Lineage: Eukaryota; Metazoa; Chordata; Aves; Struthioniformes; Struthionidae
Source: the annotation of a RefSeq genome assembly
AUGUCUGCAGUGCGGGGGCGAGCAGAGCAUUCAGCGACCUUCCGAUGCACCUACAGCUCCAACACCUCCUAUGUUUACGUGGCCUGGUAUCGGCAGCGUGCCGGUAUGCCCCUGCAAUACAUCCUCCAGAGGAAGGGCCGGGGGGGUUCAUACAGCCACACAGCCCCUUUUGCCCGCAAGAGGUUUUCCAGCCAGGCCGAUGAGAGCUCCGGCACCUUGAGCAUCGCCGCGCUGGACCUGGCUGACAGCGAGCUCUAUUACUGCGCCCUGCAGGGACCACGAUGA